RNAcentral lists this ribosomal RNA (434 nucleotides) under uncultured bacterium. Its description in RNAcentral is "partial 16S ribosomal RNA". It matches the Rfam family "Bacterial small subunit ribosomal RNA", at positions 29 to 507 of the family's 1533-position model. The record is from RNAcentral.
AGCGAACGCUGGCGGCAGGCCUAACACAUGCAAGUCGAACGAACCUUUCGGGGUUAGUGGCGGACGGGUGAGUAACACGUGGGAACGUGCCUUUAGGUUCGGAAUAACUCAGGGAAACUUGUGCUAAUACCGAAUGUGCCCUUCGGGGGAAAGAUUAAUCGCCUUUAGAGGGGCCCGCGUCUGAUUAGCUAGUUGGUUGAGGUAAUGGCUCACCAAGGCGACGAUCAGUAGCUGGUCUGAGAGGAUGAUCAGCCACAUUGGGACUGAGACACGGCCCAAACUCCUACGGGAGGCAGCAGUGGGGAAUCUUGCGCAAUGGGCGAAAGCCUGACGCAGCCAUGCCGCGUGAAUGAUGAAGGUCUUAGGAUUGUAAAGUUCUUUCACCGGGGACGAUAAUGACGGUACCCGGAGAAGAAGCCCCGGCUAACUUCGUG